UACGUAGGGGGCAAGCGCUGUCCGGAAUUAUUGGGCGUAAAGCGCGCGCAGGCGGUUCUUUAAGUCUGAUGUGAAAGCCCACGGCUCAACCGUGGAGGGUCAUUGGAAACUGGGGAACUUGAGUACAGAAGAGGAAAGCGGAAUUCCACGUGUAGCGGUGAAAUGCGUAGAGAUGUGGAGGAACACCAGUGGCAAAGGCGGCUUUCUGGUCUGUAACUGACGCUGAGGCGCGAAAGCGUGGGGAGCAAACAGG
RNAcentral lists this ribosomal RNA (253 nucleotides) under uncultured bacterium. RNAcentral's name for it is "partial 16S ribosomal RNA". It matches the Rfam family "Bacterial small subunit ribosomal RNA", at positions 524 to 776 of the family's 1533-position model. The record is from RNAcentral.